GGGGGUAUAGCUCAGUUGGUAGAGUGCUUGUUUCACAAGCACAAGGCCCUGGGUUCAAUCCCCAGCAUGCCCCCC
Molecule: non-coding RNA, 75 nt
Organism: Marmota monax (woodchuck)
Lineage: Eukaryota; Metazoa; Chordata; Mammalia; Rodentia; Sciuridae
Source: the annotation of a RefSeq genome assembly